This 316-nucleotide ribosomal RNA is filed under the name Digitipes sp. B JJ-2012. Its description in RNAcentral is "eukaryotic LSU rRNA". It matches the Rfam family "Eukaryotic large subunit ribosomal RNA", at positions 710 to 953 of the family's 3401-position model. Lineage: Eukaryota; Metazoa; Arthropoda; Chilopoda; Scolopendromorpha; Scolopendridae. The record is from RNAcentral.
UAAGGCGCAAUGAAAGUGAAGGUCAGGCAUCGCACUGACUGAGGCAGGAUCCGUCCGGGUGAGCGAAGCUCUUCUUCUCUUCGCGGGUUCGUCCCGCGGGGGAGCUCGGCGGCGCACUGCCAGCCCAUCUCGGCCGCUUCCCGUCGGCGAGGUGGAGCUAGAGCGCACACGUUGGGACCCGAAAGAUGGUGAACUAUGCUCGGGCAGGACGAAGCCAGAGGAAACUCUGGUGGAGGUCCGUAGCGAUUCUGACGUGCAAAUCGAUCGUCGGACCCGAGUAUAGGGGCGAAAGACUAAUCGAACCGUCUAGUAGCUG